RNAcentral lists this ribosomal RNA (464 nucleotides) under Vreelandella stevensii. Its description in RNAcentral is "partial 16S ribosomal RNA". It matches the Rfam family "Bacterial small subunit ribosomal RNA", at positions 339 to 795 of the family's 1533-position model. Lineage: Bacteria; Pseudomonadati; Pseudomonadota; Gammaproteobacteria; Oceanospirillales; Halomonadaceae. The record is from RNAcentral.
CCUCGGGAGGCUGCAGUGGGGAAUAUUGGACAAUGGGGGGAACCCUGAUCCAGCCAUGCCGCGUGUGUGAAGAAGGCCCUCGGGUUGUAAAGCACUUUCAGUGAGGAAGAACGCCUGGUGGUUAAUACCCAUCAGGAAAGACAUCACUCACAGAAGAAGCACCGGCUAACUCCGUGCCAGCAGCCGCGGUAAUACGGAGGGUGCGAGCGUUAAUCGGAAUUACUGGGCGUAAAGCGCGCGUAGGUGGCUUGAUAAGCCGGUUGUGAAAGCCCCGGGCUCAACCUGGGAACGGCAUCCGGAACUGUCAAGCUAGAGUGCAGGAGAGGAAGGUAGAAUUCCCGGUGUAGCGGUGAAAUGCGUAGAGAUCGGGAGGAAUACCAGUGGCGAAGGCGGCCUUCUGGACUGACACUGACACUGAGGUGCGAAAGCGUGGGUAGCAAACAGGAUUAGAUACCCUGGUAGUC